Long non-coding RNA from Cyprinus carpio carpio, 713 nucleotides. Lineage: Eukaryota; Metazoa; Chordata; Actinopteri; Cypriniformes; Cyprinidae. The record is from Ensembl.
AUACAGUAGAGGUGGAGACAAUCUAACCCAUAGCAUGCAAAUGAAGUACAGGGAUCAGCCUUGAUCUCAUCAGCAUAACAGUGUCAUUCAAAUGCAGAGGUGCCUGACAGUAUCGCACAUACCUUCACAUUAUCAUUGAAACAAAUGCACAGCUGUGCCUUGAGCUUAAAAAGCCAGAUGGUCAGGAAGAGCAUAAAAACAAAAGGUCAAUGUCUCAGAAACCUUGGCUGCUUGACUUGAUCUCAGAAUGUCACCAUCUUAACCUCAAAAUGUCACCGUAGCCACCAGAUCCAGUCUGUAUCCAGAUCACAUGGUGGAUCAGCACCUAGACAAACUCUUGACAGCCCUGGAUGUCAGCGGAGACCAGGACAACUAUGAGCCCCAGAGACAGAUCCUCUUCACCAAGACAGCCAUCGGGACAAGACCACAGGAACCAGACCAGUCCUCUGCACAAUCUGAUCUGUGUUGAAGCCUGCAAUUAAACUGCUGGGUUCGUCUGUUCAGAGAAGAACGAUGGAGUUUUGGUUCCUUCGACACACAAUUUUUCUGUUUAAUACUGUAAAGCUGUAGUGUAAAUACAGUGACUGGACUUGACUCCAGUUGAAAUGUAACACCUGGUUCAUUUAUUUUUUUCUGCCUUCUGCCUCAUUUUAAAGAUGUAAUUGUGAACAGUAUUAAUAUUUUUUUAAAUAUUUGUUUGCAAACAUUUUUUU